CCUACGGGUGGCAGCAGUGAGGAAUAUUGGUCAAUGGACGAGAGUCUGAACCAGCCAAGUAGCGUGAAGGAUGACCGCCCUAUGGGUUGUAAACUUCUUUUAUAAGGGAAUAAAACGAGGCACGUGUGCCUUUUUGCGUGUACUUUAUGAAUAAGGAUCGGCUAACUCCGUGCCAGCAGCCGCGGUAAUACGGAGGAUCCGAGCGUUAUCCGGAUUUAUUGGGUUUAAAGGGUGCGGAGAUGGGUGGUUAAGUCAGUUGUGAAAUUUUGCGGCUCAACCGUAGAAUUGCAAUUGAUACUGGCAGUCUUGAGUGCAGUUGAGGUAGGCGGAAUGCGUGGUGUAGCGGUGAAAUGCUUAGAUAUCACGAAGAACCCCGAUUGCGAAGGCAGCUUACUAAAGUGUGACUGACAUUGAUGCUCGAAAGUGUGGGUAUCAAACAGGAUUAGAUACCCGUGUAGUC
This 460-nucleotide ribosomal RNA is filed under the name uncultured bacterium. Its description in RNAcentral is "partial 16S ribosomal RNA". It matches the Rfam family "Bacterial small subunit ribosomal RNA", at positions 338 to 795 of the family's 1533-position model. The record is from RNAcentral.